Molecule: ribosomal RNA, 920 nt
Filed under: uncultured Bacillota bacterium
Lineage: Bacteria; Bacillati; Bacillota
Description: bacterial SSU rRNA
Rfam family: Bacterial small subunit ribosomal RNA
Source: RNAcentral
UGGAUCCAGACUUUGAUUAUGGCUCAGGAUGAACGCUGGCGGCGUGCCUAACACAUGCAAGUCGAACGAAGCUUGACGGAUGAUUUCUUCGGAAUGAAACCUGAUAUGACUUAGUGGCGGACGGGUGAGUAACACGUGAGCAACCUGCCUUUCAGAGGGGGAUAACGGCUGGAAACGGUCGCUAAUACCGCAUGAUGUGUUCGGAUGGCAUCAUCUGAACAUCAAAGAUUUAUCGCUGAAAGAUGGGCUCGCGUCUGAUUAGAUAGUUGGUGGGGUAACGGCCUACCAAGUCUACGAUCAGUAGCCGGACUGAGAGGUUGAACGGCCACGUUGGGACUGAGAUACGGCCCAGACUCCUACGGGAGGCAGCAGUGGGGAAUAUUGCACAAUGGGGGAAACCCUGAUGCAGCAACGCCGCGUGAAGGAUGACGGUUUUCGGAUUGUAAACUUCUUUUCUUAGUGACGAAGACAGUGACGGUAGCUAAGGAAUAAGCAUCGGCUAACUACGUGCCAGCAGCCGCGGUAAUACGUAGGAUGCAAGCGUUAUCCGGAUUUACUGGGUGUAAAGGGAGCGCAGGCGGGACUGCAAGUUGGAUGUGAAAUACCGUGGCUUAACCACGGAACUGCAUCCAAAACUGUAGUUCUUGAGUGAAGUAGAGGCAAGCGGAAUUCCGAGUGUAGCGGUGAAAUGCGUAGAUAUUCGGAGGAACGCCAGUGGCGAAGGCGGCUUGCUGGGCUUUAACUGACGCUGAGGCUCGAAAGUGUGGGGAGCAAACAGGAUUAGAUACCCUGGUAGUCCACACUGUAAACGAUGAUAGCUAGGUGUGGGGGGUCUGACCCCUUCCGUGCCGGAGUUAACGCAUUAAGCUAUCCACCUGGGGAGUACGACCGCAAGGUUGCAACUCAAAGGAAUUGACGGA